This 375-nucleotide unclassified non-coding RNA is filed under the name uncultured Actinomycetes bacterium. RNAcentral describes it as "uncultured actinobacterium contains 16S-23S intergenic spacer region". Lineage: Bacteria; Bacillati; Actinomycetota; Actinomycetes. The record is from RNAcentral.
UCCGGCUUGACGCCGGCAGUCCCCCGAGAGUCCUCAGCUUUACCUGUUAGUAACACGGGGCAAGGGUUGCGCUCGUUGCGGGACUUAACCCAACACCUCACGGCACGAGCUGGCGACAGCCAUGCACCACCUGUGCAGGCUCCGUAGAGCGCCGGCUCUCACCGGCUUUACCCUGCAUGUCAAGCCCAGGUAAGGUUCUUCGCGUCGCAUCGAAUUAAGCCGCAUGCUCCGCCGCUUGUGCGGGCCCCCGUCAAUUCCUUUGAGUUUUAGCCUUGCGGCCGUACUCCCCAGGCGGGACACUUAAUGCGUUAGCUUCGGCACGGGGGGAGUCGACACCCCCCACACCUAGCACCCAUCGUUUACGGCGUGGACUAC